UGCUGCCAGAUGGUCAUUCUGAAGCA
Molecule: non-coding RNA, 26 nt
Filed under: Homo sapiens (human)
Lineage: Eukaryota; Metazoa; Chordata; Mammalia; Primates; Hominidae
Source: RNAcentral